This 255-nucleotide ribosomal RNA is filed under the name uncultured bacterium. Its description in RNAcentral is "partial 16S ribosomal RNA". It matches the Rfam family "Bacterial small subunit ribosomal RNA", at positions 524 to 776 of the family's 1533-position model. The record is from RNAcentral.
UACGUAGGGGGGCUAGCGUUGUCCGGAUUUAUUGGGCGUAAAGAGCGUGUAGGCGGCCAGGUAGGUCUGGUGUGAAAACUCGAGGCUUAACCUCGAGAUGUCAUCGGAAACCAUCUGGCUAGAGUCCGGAAGAGGAGAGUGGAAUUCCUGGUGUAGCGGUGAAAAUGCGUAGAUAUCUGGAGGAACACCGGUGGCGAAGGCGGCAUCCUGGACCGGUAUUGACGCUGAGGCGCGAAAGCCAGGGGAGCAAACGGG